GACGAACGCUGGCGGCGUGCCUAAUACAUGCAAGUAGAACGCUGAAGGAGGAGCUUGCUUCUCCGGAUGAGUUGCGAACGGGUGAGUAACGCGUAGGUAACCUGCCUGGUAGCGGGGGAUAACUAUUGGAAACGAUAGCUAAUACCGCAUAACAGUAGAUAUUGCAUGAUAUCUGCUUGAAAGGUGCAAUUGCAUCACUACCAGAUGGACCUGCGUUGUAUUAGCUAGUUGGUGAGGUAACGGCUCACCAAGGCGACGAUACAUAGCCGACCUGAGAGGGUGAUCGGCCACACUGGGACUGAGACACGGCCCAGACUCCUACGGGAGGCAGCAGUAGGGAAUCUUCGGCAAUGGACGGAAGUCUGACCGAGCAACGCCGCGUGAGUGAAGAAGGUUUUCGGAUCGUAAAGCUCUGUUGUAAGAGAAGAACGAGUGUGAGAGUGGAAAGUUCACACUGUGACGGUAUCUUACCAGAAAGGGACGGCUAACUACGUGCCAGCAGCCGCGGUAAUACGUAGGUCCCGAGCGUUGUCCGGAUUUAUUGGGCGUAAAACGAGCGCAGGCGGUUAGAUAAGUCUGAAGUUAAAGGCUGUGGCUUAACCAUAGUACGCUUUGGAAACUGUUUAACUUGAGUGCAAGAGGGGAGAGUGGAAUUCCAUGUGUAGCGGUGAAAUGCGUAUAUAUAUGGAGGAACACCGGUGGCGAAAGCGGCUCUCUGGCUUGUUCUGACGCUGAGGCUCGAAAGCGUGGGAGCAACAGG
This 760-nucleotide ribosomal RNA is filed under the name uncultured Streptococcus sp. RNAcentral's name for it is "bacterial SSU rRNA". It matches the Rfam family "Bacterial small subunit ribosomal RNA", at positions 28 to 776 of the family's 1533-position model. The record is from RNAcentral. Lineage: Bacteria; Bacillati; Bacillota; Bacilli; Lactobacillales; Streptococcaceae.